GAACGCACCUUGCGCCCUUUGGCCAUUCCGAAGGGCAUGCCUGUCCGAGCGUCAUUACUACCUUCAAGCACGGCUUGAUUGUUGAGCCAAUUGUUCUUUGAUGGACAGGCUUGAAAUGCAGUGGCAAUGCCAGAGUCCUGGUGCCCGAGCGUAUGGAGCUCUGUCACACGCUUUAGUGGCCCAGCCGGCAUUUUGUCGAUUAACCCCUUUUUAAAACCUAAGAUUUAACCUCGGAUCAGGUAAGGAUACCCGCUGAACUUAAG
This 263-nucleotide unclassified non-coding RNA is filed under the name uncultured fungus. Its description in RNAcentral is "sequence contains 5.8S rRNA gene". The record is from RNAcentral. Lineage: Eukaryota; Fungi.